Molecule: ribosomal RNA, 379 nt
Filed under: uncultured bacterium
Lineage: Bacteria
Description: bacterial SSU rRNA
Rfam family: Bacterial small subunit ribosomal RNA
Source: RNAcentral
CACGUAGGGGGCGAGCGUUGUCCGGAUUUAUUGGGCGUAAAGAGCUCGUAGGCGGCUCGGUAAGUCGGGUGUGAAAUCCUCAGGCUCAACCUGGGGUGGCCAUUCGAUACUGCUGUGGCUUGAGUCCAGUAGGGGAGUGUGGACUUCCCGGUGUAGCGGUGAAAUGCGCAGAUAUCGGGAGGAACACCGGCGGCGAAGGCGGCACUCUGGGCUGGUACUGACGCUGAGGAGCGAAAGCGUGGGUAGCGCACAGGAUUAGAUACCCUGGUAGUCCACGCCGUAAACGUUGGGCACUAGGUGUGGGGCCUUCUUCAGCGGGUUCCGUGCCGUAGCUAACGCAUUAAGUGCCCCGCCUGGGGAGUACGGCCGCAAGGCUAAA